Molecule: ribosomal RNA, 647 nt
Filed under: uncultured Lachnospiraceae bacterium
Lineage: Bacteria; Bacillati; Bacillota; Clostridia; Lachnospirales; Lachnospiraceae
Description: bacterial SSU rRNA
Rfam family: Bacterial small subunit ribosomal RNA
Source: RNAcentral
CUUUUCUUGACUUAGUGGCGAACGGGUGAGUAACGCGUGAGUAACCUGCCCUGAAGUGGGGGACAACAGUUGGAAACGACUGCUAAUACCGCAUAAGCCCACGGAUUCGCAUGGAUCUGCGGGAAAAGGAUUUAUUCGCUUCAGGAUGGACUCGCGUCCAAUUAGCUAGUUGGUGAGGUAACGGCCCACCAAGGCGACGAUUGGUAGCCGGACUGAGAGGUUGAACGGCCACAUUGGGACUGAGACACGGCCCAGACUCCUACGGGAGGCAGCAGUGGGGGAUAUUGCACAAUGGGGGAAACCCUGAUGCAGCGACGCCGCGUGGAGGAAGAAGGUUUUCGGAUUGUAAACUCCUGUCGUUAGGGACGAUAAUGACGGUACCUAACAAGAAAGCACCGGCUAACUACGUGCCAGCAGCCGCGGUAAAACGUAGGGUGCAAGCGUUGUCCGGAAUUACUGGGUGUAAAGGGAGCGCAGGCGGACCGGCAAGUUGGAAGUGAAAACCAUAGGCUCAACCUAUGGAUUGCUUUCAAAACUGCUGGCCUUGAGUAGUGCAGAGGUAGGUGGAAUUCCCGGUGUAGCGGUGGAAUGCGUAGAUAUCGGGAGGACACCAGUGGCGAAGGCGACCUACUGGGCACCAACUGACG